This 468-nucleotide long non-coding RNA is filed under the name Elaeis guineensis (African oil palm). RNAcentral's name for it is "long non-coding RNA (EGUI_LNC008931)". The record is from RNAcentral. Lineage: Eukaryota; Viridiplantae; Streptophyta; Magnoliopsida; Arecales; Arecaceae.
CUUUUCUUCUCUAAUUAUCUGCUGUAAAACCAGUAGAAGAAGCCCUCUUUGAUGCCCAAAAAUUAUCAGCAAAAUCUCUCAAAAGUUCUUUCAAGAAAGGAGGAGAAGAGGGGCUUUGCACAUGGGGUUGUGGGGCAUCCAAGAGUUGGAUGCCCCUCACCUUUUUUUUCUUUUUAGGCGACAAGAAAGAGAGACGCCUCUUGCUUUCAUGCAAGAGAAGAGAAGAGAGCGGGUGUGAGGUUUCUUGGGCGUGAGAUCUUUUUUCUCACGGUGAAGAGAUGUGGUGUGGGGAAUAAAUAUCACAUGGGGUGGUUUUAAGUUGGUUAAGUCCAAUUCCAAAUAAGACUUAAGAUUUUGUUCCAACUCUAACUAACCGUUGGAUCCAAUCCUAGCCAAUUUGAGAAUUAGUUAUAACAAACUAACUAAUUAGGUCCUAGCCCAAUUAUGAAUUCAAUUAGGUCCCAAUUG